This 990-nucleotide long non-coding RNA is filed under the name Rattus norvegicus (Norway rat). Its description in RNAcentral is "long non-coding RNA NONRATT008214". The record is from RNAcentral. Lineage: Eukaryota; Metazoa; Chordata; Mammalia; Rodentia; Muridae.
AUUUUUACAUACAGUAUGCUUUUAUUAUACAGAUAAUAAAGAUGGGGGAAGGUUUCUGUUUUUUUUCUUAAUAGGUGAAGAAAUCUUGAAGACCAGAAAUUGGAUCUUAUUGAAUUUUGGUGGUGUUUUUACCUUUUUUUUUUUUUCUUUUUUCUUUUUUUCGUCUUUUUAUUUUUAAAUUAUAAUGCUCAGCUAUGGAAGAUGGAUUUUUUUUUUUAAUUCUUUGAAUUUUAAGUUCAUCUUUAAAUGAACUUUUUUUGGCUUUUUUUGAGGAGAUAGCUAAUGCUAGCUGUCUCCAGUCUGACAGAGGUUAUGCAAAUGGACUUAAUCUUCCAGGAGUUGUUUUAAAAACACAUCCUGUGUUUCAAUUGUGGCUGAGAGGUUUCCUUGGCAAUGUGAGGAAGAAAAUUCUUUCUACCUCAUUAUUAUUAAUUCAUGGAUUGAGUGUUGGUUCGACCUACAGGCGUAAUAGCUUGGAACUGAGUGAAGACACAGAUGUUCCUGUUGAGAGCAACCAGCUAAUGAUUUACGUUUUAAAGACGAUUUCUGUGGUUGAGUUGUCAUUGGAAGAAUAAGUCCACUUCAAGAGUACUUGGAGCUGGUCUUCACCUCGAGGAAGCAGUGGCUUAUUCCAGGAAGCCACUUUUGGCCUGAGAAUUUACCCAGUAUGCCUAAUCAGGGAGAAGACUGCUAUUUUUAUUUCUAUUCUACAUGCACCAAAGGUGACAGCUGCCCAUUCCGUCACUGUGAAGCUGCACUAGGAAAUGAAACUGUUUGCACACUAUGGCAGGAAGGUCGUUGUUUUCGACAGGUGUGCAGAUUUCGCCACAUGGAAAUUGACAAAAAACGAAGUGAAAUUCCUUGUUAUUGGGAAAACCAGCCAAUGGGAUGUCAAAAAUUAAAUUGCGCUUUCCAUCACAACAGAAGUCGUUAUGUCGAUGGACUGUUCCUACCUCCAAGCAAAAGUGAGAUUGGUUUUGAUUCUAAAAG